UACGUAGGGGGCAAGCGUUGUCCGGAAUCAUUGGGCGUAAAGCGCGCGUAGGCGGCCCUGUAAGUCCGUUGUGAAAGUCGAAGGCUCAACCUUCGAAAGCCGAUGGAUACUGCAGGGCUAGAGUCCGGAAGAGGCGAGUGGAAUUCCUGGUGUAGCGGUGGAAUGCGCAGAUAUCGGGAAGAACACCCGUGGCGAAGGCGGUUCUCUGGGACGGUACUGACGCUGAGACGCGAAAGCGUGGGGAGCGAACAGG
This 253-nucleotide ribosomal RNA is filed under the name uncultured bacterium. RNAcentral's name for it is "partial 16S ribosomal RNA". It matches the Rfam family "Bacterial small subunit ribosomal RNA", at positions 524 to 776 of the family's 1533-position model. The record is from RNAcentral.